This 560-nucleotide ribosomal RNA is filed under the name uncultured bacterium. RNAcentral describes it as "bacterial SSU rRNA". It matches the Rfam family "Bacterial small subunit ribosomal RNA", at positions 338 to 916 of the family's 1533-position model. The record is from RNAcentral.
CCUACGGGAGGCAGCAGUGGGGAAUUUUGCGCAAUGGGGGAAACCCUGACGCAGCGACGCCGCGUGGAGGAUGAAGGUCUUCGGAUUGUAAACUCCUUUUGUCGGGGAAGAUAAUGACGGUACCCGAUGAAUAAGCCACGGCUAACUCUGUGCCAGCAGCCGCGGUAAGACAGAGGUGGCAAGCGUUGUUCGGAAUUACUGGGCUUAAAGGGCGCGUAGGCGGUGGAGUAAGUCUGAGGUGGAAGAUUAGGGCCUAACCCUAAAAUUGCCUUGGAAACUGCAUCACUUGAGUCAGCGAGGGGAUGGCGGAAUUCCAGGUGUAGCGGUGAAAUGCGUAGAUAUCUGGAGGAAGGCCGGUGGCGAAGGCGGCCAUCUGGCGCUGAACUGACGCUGAGGCGCGAAAGCGUGGGGAGCAAACAGGAUUAGAUACCCUGGUAGUCCACGCCCUAAACGGUGGGUACUAGGUGUAGGGCUCGCAAGGGUUCUGUGCCGUAGGGAAACCAUUAAGUACCCCGCCUGGGGAGUACGGCCGCAAGGUUAAAACUCAAAGGAAUUGACGG